GAUGAAGAACGCAGCGAAAUGCGAUAACUAGUGUGAAUUGCAGAAUUCCGUGAAUCAUCGAGUCUUUGAACGCACAUUGCGCCCCCUGGUAUUCCGGGGGGCAUGCCUGUCCGAGCGUCAUUGCUGCCCAUCAAGCACGGCUUGUGUGUUGGGUCGUCGUCCCCCCCUCCGGGGGGGACGGGCCCUAAAGGCAGCGGCGGCACCGCGUCCGAUCCUCGAGCGUAUGGGGCUUUGUCACCCGCUCUGUAGGCCCGGCCGGCGCUUGCCGAACGCAAAACAACCAUUCUUUCCAGGUUGACCUCGGAUCAGGUAGGGAUACCCGCUGAACUUAAGCAUAUCAAUAAGCGGAGGA
RNAcentral lists this unclassified non-coding RNA (352 nucleotides) under soil metagenome. Its description in RNAcentral is "partial contains 5.8S ribosomal RNA, internal transcribed spacer 2, and large subunit ribosomal RNA". The stretch from base 1 to 120 matches the Rfam family "5.8S ribosomal RNA", at positions 35 to 154 of the family's 154-position model. The record is from RNAcentral.